GGACGACUUGCCUAAACGAGUAUCUUUUGCCAGGAAGAACACAAUCGUUGAAAGUUUCAUCCAAUGGAACCUUUGAAGGAAUAAUACACCCUAUCUCCUGUCCAAAUGCAGGACAGUCCAACCAACCUGGAGGAAGUCUGCUGCUAGGUUUCUGUCUCUUUGGCUGAAAGAUCUCAUCCUGCAUUCGUGGUUGAGAUGGAUAUGCUGGUCUAUCAUCUGGAUGUUGUCUUUUAAGUUUUUGAAUCCUUUCCUCCCGCUCGCGACGUGAAAUCUCUACAGCACUCGUGACAUAAUCUGCACGCUCAUCACUACGUAAAAUAGGUUCUUGUGGUUCAUCUUCUAAUUGUUGUCCAAAAAUCUCGUCGUCAUCCUCUGGCUGUGGCAAGGCAUUCAAAUCCAUGCUGGUGAUUCAAGUCUCAACAGAAAGCAUAUGUCAAGGUUCCUGCAAGCAAUUUAUAGUUCUGCUCCUAACGUAAAAGAAAUUGCAGAAGCCAACGACUUAGAGGAACUCAGCUCGAAAACCAGAAUAAAACUUCACGCUUCACCGUACAAAGAACUGGAAAAAACCCCUACAAUUACCUAACUAGAAAUUUUAUGAAAUCAAACCACAAAAUCCUAGAGAGAGAAGGAAGUGGCCAUGCUGUUAGAGAGAGAAAGAGAGAUCAGAGAGAUUGAUUUAUGGUUCAAUCCAUGACGACGAGAAAGGAUUUACCGAUUGCGAACAAUUGAAAGCUCUCUCA
This 740-nucleotide unclassified non-coding RNA is filed under the name Hevea brasiliensis (rubber tree). Lineage: Eukaryota; Viridiplantae; Streptophyta; Magnoliopsida; Malpighiales; Euphorbiaceae. The record is from RNAcentral.